GGAUAAUCUACCCUUAGGACCGGGAUAACCCUGGGAAACUGGGGAUAAUACUGGAUAGGCAAUUAUUCCUGUAAUGGUUUUUUGUUUAAAUGUUUUUUCGCCUAAGGAUGAGUCUGCGGCCGAUUAGGUAGUUGGUUAGGUAAUGGCUUACCAAGCCGUUGAUCGGUACGGGUUGUGAGAGCAAGAGCCCGGAGAUGGAACCUGAGACAAGGUUCCAGGCCCUACGGGGUGCAGCAGGCGCGAAACCUCCGCAAUGUGAGAAAUCGCGACGGGGGGAUCCCAAGUGCCAUUCUUAACGGGAUGGCUUUUCAUUAGUGUAAAGAGCUUUUGGAAUAAGAGCUGGGCAAGACCGGUGCCAGCCGCCGCGGUAACACCGGCAGCUCUAGUGGUAACAAUUUUUAUUGGGCCUAAAGCGUCCGUAGCCGGUUUAAUAAGUCUCUGGUGAAAUCCUGCAGCUUAACUGUGGGAAUUGCUGGAGAUACUAUUAGACUUGAGACCGGGAGAGGUUAGAGGUACUCCCAGGGUAGAGGUGAAAUUCUGUAAUCCUGGGAGGACCGCCUGUUGCGAAGGCGUCUAACUGGAACGGUUCUGACGGUGAGGGACGAAAGUUAGGGGCGCGAACCGGAUUAGAUACCCGGGUAGUCCUAACUGUAAACGAUGCGGACUUGGUGUUGGGGUGGCUUUGAGCUGCUCCAGUGCCGAAAGGGAAGCUGUUAAGUCCGCCGCCU
RNAcentral lists this ribosomal RNA (728 nucleotides) under uncultured archaeon. Its description in RNAcentral is "bacterial SSU rRNA". It matches the Rfam family "Archaeal small subunit ribosomal RNA", at positions 102 to 829 of the family's 1478-position model. The record is from RNAcentral.